This 70-nucleotide transfer RNA is filed under the name Dipodomys ordii (Ord's kangaroo rat). It matches the Rfam family "tRNA". Rfam says of the family: Transfer RNA (tRNA) molecules are approximately 80 nucleotides in length. Their secondary structure includes four short double-helical elements and three loops (D, anti-codon, and T loops). Further hydrogen bonds mediate the characteristic L-shaped molecular structure. tRNAs have two regions of fundamental functional importance: the anti-codon, which is responsible for specific mRNA codon recognition, and the 3' end, to which the tRNAs corresponding amino acid is attached (by aminoacyl-tRNA synthetases). tRNAs cope with the degeneracy of the genetic code in two manners: having more than one tRNA (with a specific anti-codon) for a particular amino acid; and 'wobble' base-pairing, i.e. permitting non-standard base-pairing at the 3rd anti-codon position. Lineage: Eukaryota; Metazoa; Chordata; Mammalia; Rodentia; Heteromyidae. The record is from Rfam by way of RNAcentral.
GGGAAUGUGACUUAGUGGUAGAGUACUUGCCUAACAUGCAUGAAGCCCUGGGUUCAAUUCCUCAGUACCA